GACGAACGCUGGCGGCGUGCUUAACACAUGCAAGUCGAACGCUGAAGCUCAGCUUUUGUUGGGUGGAUGAGUGGCGAACGGGUGAGUAACACGUGAGUAACCUGCCUCCUUCUUUGGGAUAACGCCCGGAAACGGGUGCUAAUACUGGAUAUUCACUGGUCUUCGCAUGGGGGUUGGUGGAAAGGGUUUUUCUGGUGGGGGAUGGGCUCGCGGCCUAUCAGCUUGUUGGUGGGGUGAUGGCCUACCAAGGCUUUGACGGGUAGCCGGGCUGAGAGGGUGACCGGUCACAUUGGGACUGAGAUACGGCCCAGACUCCUACGGGAGGCAGCAGUGGGGAAUAUGGGACAAUGGGUGCAAGCCUGAUGCAGCGUCGCCGCGUGAGGGAUGGAGGCCUUCGGGUUGUGAACCUCUUUCGCUAAUGGUCAAGCCGCAACAAUGGUUGUGGUGAGGGUAGUGGGUAAAGAAGCGCCGGCUAACUACGUG
RNAcentral lists this ribosomal RNA (483 nucleotides) under uncultured bacterium. RNAcentral describes it as "partial 16S ribosomal RNA". It matches the Rfam family "Bacterial small subunit ribosomal RNA", at positions 28 to 507 of the family's 1533-position model. The record is from RNAcentral.